UUGUGGUUAAAAAGCUCGUAGUUGGAUCUCAACAGCCUUGAAGCGGUUAACUUUGUAGUUUUACUGCUUUAUAGGCUGUGCUUUUGCUGGAGGUUUAGGGGUGCUCUUGAUCGAGUGUCUCUGGAUGCCAGCAGGUUUACUUUGAAAAAAUUAGAGUGCUCAAAGCAGGCUAAAAUGCCUGAAUAUUCGUGCAUGGAAUAAUAGAAUAGGAUGUCGAUCCUAUUUUGUUGGUUUUCGGGACUCGACAUAAUGAUAAAUAGGGACAGUCGGGGGCAUUUGUAUUC
This 284-nucleotide ribosomal RNA is filed under the name uncultured marine eukaryote. Its description in RNAcentral is "partial 18S ribosomal RNA". It matches the Rfam family "Eukaryotic small subunit ribosomal RNA", at positions 613 to 899 of the family's 1831-position model. The record is from RNAcentral.